CGGAGUAAUACAUCGGAACGUGUCUUCUAGUGGGGGAUAACUGCCCGAAAGGGCAGCUAAUACCGCAUGAGACCUGAGGGUGAAAGCGGGGGAUCGCAAGACCUCGCGCUGGAAGAGCGGCAGAUGUCCGAUUAGCUAGUUGGUGAGGUAAAGGCUCACCAAGGCGACGAUCGGUAGCUGGUCUGAGAGGACGACCAGCCACACUGGGACUGAGACACGGCCCAG
Molecule: ribosomal RNA, 225 nt
Filed under: uncultured bacterium
Lineage: Bacteria
Description: partial 16S ribosomal RNA
Rfam family: Bacterial small subunit ribosomal RNA
Source: RNAcentral